GAAAGACUUACUGUACUAAAUAAACUGGCCUUCUCUGGAUAUAUCUCUUUAGCAACAGAAAGAAGGCAUUCUUUCUGUUGCUAAAGAGAUGUGCAGCAGCAGGCUCUGCACAGACAAGCUCGUGACUCAUCCAAUCACACCCAAGACUGAAGGCUGUGACAUACUGAACACGAUGCGAAGUGAAGCAUUAGAAAGCAACUUUGGAUUCCAAAUUCUCCCUCCACGAAUGGUCUGCCAGUGCACGCUAUUAGCUUGGCAACUUGAAAAUUUGUUCGCAAUGAUGAAAUAUUUAGGUGCUUC
Molecule: long non-coding RNA, 300 nt
Filed under: Androctonus crassicauda
Lineage: Eukaryota; Metazoa; Arthropoda; Arachnida; Scorpiones; Buthidae
Source: RNAcentral